RNAcentral lists this ribosomal RNA (387 nucleotides) under uncultured Rhodobacter sp. Its description in RNAcentral is "bacterial SSU rRNA". It matches the Rfam family "Bacterial small subunit ribosomal RNA", at positions 392 to 796 of the family's 1533-position model. The record is from RNAcentral. Lineage: Bacteria; Pseudomonadati; Pseudomonadota; Alphaproteobacteria; Rhodobacterales.
CCAUGCCGCGUGGGUGAUGAAGGCCUUAGGGUCGUAAAGCCCUUUCGCCGGGGAAGAUAAUGACGGUACCCGGUAAAGAAGCCCCGGCUAACUCCGUCCCAGCAGCCGCGGUAAUACGGAGGGGGCUAGCGUUGUUCGGAAUGACUGGGCGUAAAGCGCGCGUAGGCGGAUCAGGAAGUUGGGGGUGAAAUCCCGGGGCUCAACCUCGGAAUGGCCUUCAAAACUCCUGGUCUUGAGUUCGAGAGAGGUGAGUGGAAUUCCGAGUGUAGAGGUGAAAUUCGUAGAUAUUCGGAGGAACACCAGUGGCGAAGGCGGCUCACUGGCUCGACACUGACGCUGAGGUGGGAAAGCGUGGGGAGCAAACAGGAUUAGAUACCCUGGUAGUCC